CCCUGCUGGGAGGUGUCUCCCAGUCAGGGGGAACUGGGAUUGCUGCACUCACUGUCUAACCAGCCCCAAUGAGAUGAACCAAGUACCCCAGUUGGAAAUGCAGAAAUCACCCACCUUCUACAUUGGUCUCACUGGGAGCUGCAGACGGGAGUUGUUCCUAUUCGGCCAUCUUGCCAGCACCUCCCUGAUCUAUUUCUUUAUAUACCUGUGCAAAAGAAAGAGUCUUUAUAAUAACAAAUGUGGGCAUUAGAGGAUGGGAAAAAUGCCCAUUUACUUUUUUCUUCCUCUCUAUCUUCCUACUUCUUAGUCUUAAAUAUGGAUGUAGUUUCAAGAAAUGUGAAGCAGAAUGGGAUAAAUUGAGAUCCAGAUUUUGUCUCAAGAACGAGAAAAGGGUAGGCCCCACAAACUGGAAUAUGCCUCAGCAAUAGGGCAAAUUGUUUAACUCAGGAGAAAAACCUUUUAAACUUGUUUAUAAACUCACCUCUGAGCUGAGCAUUAGUGGUUCUGACUUUAAAAAACAUACAGAACAUUUAAAAACUGACUUGAUAGAACAUCACCCAAGACCCAGACUUGGUGAAUGUAUGGAAUAGAUUAGAAUUGGCAUUGCAAGGGUUAGAAAACUAAUCUGAUAUUAGAAUCACAACUCAGGGAAUGCUGGUUGGAGCUUUCAGCCUGAGCCCAACUUGGUCAAUUGUCUGCAAAGCAAAAAUAUUGCUUUCUAACAAAACAAAAAUAUCAAUAUUCUAUAUAAAUAGCAUAACAUAACAUUAAACUGUAUAGAAUAUUAUACAAAAUUAUUCAGAAUAUGAAGAAUUGAGAAAAUUUCAACUCAAAUGAGAAAAACAAAAACAAUUACCAACACUGAGAUUUCACAGAUAUUGAAAUAUUUAGACAAAGACUUUAAUGAGUUAAGAAAGUACUCUAACAAGUAGUGAUAAACGCUCUAAAAAUAAAUGUAAAGUUACAAAGUCUCAGCGAAAGAAAUAGAAAAAAUAAGAAUCAAGUGAAAAUUUUGUACCUGAAAAAUGUAAAUAUACCACAAAAUUACAAGAAAACCUCAAUUGAUGGACUUAAUGGUGAAUUUAAAGAUGACAGAGGAAAGUAUUUGCAAUAGAAGAGAGAGCAAUAUGAAAAAUCUAAUGUGAUAAAUAGAAAAAUAAUUAACAAAGAUCCAGUAGCCUGUGGGAAAACCUCAAUAGAUAUAGACUAUAUGUCAUCAUAAGAUCAAAAGAAAAGGUAGCGUGGUGCAUACACAAAACACUAUUUAAAAAAGAAUAAUGGCUGAAAACAUACCAAGUUUGGCAAAAGAUCUAAACCUACAGAUUACAGAGAACAAUGAACCCCAAAAAGAACAAAACUAAGGGAAACAAUGUGGUAUCCCUUUAUAAAUGUUUCCUGGGUAAUUAAAAAUAAUAAGUAAUUUGCUGAGUUUUCAGUGAAUGGUUUUAUAAAUUAAAUAAAACUUAGUAAAUUAAUAAAAAUAAAAUUCUUAAAGCAUGUUCUGUGACCAAAAUGGAAUUAGAGUAGAAAUCAACAACAAAAAGAUACAAAAAAAUGCUCAAAUAUUUGGUAAGUACAAAACAUGCUUUUUAAAACCUAACAAAAAUGAACAAAAUAUGUACAAGUUCAUAUAAAGAAAACUACAAGACUCUAAUGAAAUAUAUCAAACAAAAUCUAAACAAAUGGAGAGAUAUUCCAUGAACAAGGACAAAAAGAAUGUCAUUUAUUUCUACUUUGAAUUGAUCCAAAGCAAUCCUGAUCAAAAUCCCAGCUAGUGAUUUCAUGAAUUUCUACAAACCAAUUUAAAGUUUACAUAGAAAGACAAAAGACCCAGAAUAACUAACACUACAUAGAAGGAGAAUAAAGUUAGAUUGACAGUACCUGAUUUCAAUACUUAUAUAAAACUACUAUAAUUAUGACAGUGUGGAAUUGGCAAAAGAAUAGACAAGUAGAUCAAUGGAACAGAGCAGAGUCCAGAAAUAGACCCACACAGAGCAGAUGAUCUCUUACUUGCAAUGUUGACUUAAUAUUUUCAACUUUACAAUGGGUUUAUCAGGGUAUUAAAUGCAUGUUUUUCUUUGCUGAAAACAGGGUCUAGCUCUAUUGACCAUGCUGAAGUACCAAACUGGCCUAAUUUUUUUCAAAAAUUUUUUUCAUAGAGACAGGGUCUUGCUGUGUUGCCAAGACUCGUCCAGAACUUCCGGUCUCAAGUGAUCUUCCCACCUAGCCUCCCAAAGCACUGGGAAGGAGUAUAAGCAUGAGGCCACCAUGACUGGCUAAAUUCAUUUUUGACUUACAAUAUUGUUAACAUGAAGGGUUUA
RNAcentral lists this long non-coding RNA (2321 nucleotides) under Pan troglodytes (chimpanzee). RNAcentral describes it as "long non-coding RNA NONPTRT012613". Lineage: Eukaryota; Metazoa; Chordata; Mammalia; Primates; Hominidae. The record is from RNAcentral.